AGAGUUUGAUUCUGGCUCAGGAUGAACGCUAGCGGCAGGCUUAACACAUGCAAGUCGAGGGGCAGCGGGAUGUAGCAAUACAUUGCCGGCGACCGGCGGAUGGGUGCGUAACGCGUAUGCAACCUACCUUAUACAGGGGAAUAACCUUUCGAAAGGGAGACUAACACCCCAUAGUAUUGAUUUAAGGCAUCUUAGAUUAAUUAAAUAUUUAUAGGUAUAAGAUGGGCAUGCGUAUGAUUAGCUAGUUGGUAAGGUAACGGCUUACCAAGGCGACGAUCAUUAGGGGUUCUGAGAGGAAGGUCCCCCACACUGGUACUGAGACACGGACCAGACUCCUACGGGAGGCAGCAGUGAGGAAUAUUGGUCAAUGGGCGCAAGCCUGAACCAGCCAUGCCGCGUGCAGGAAGACGGCCUUAUGGGUUGUAAACUGCUUUUACAUAAGACUAACCGUAUAUUUGCGAAUAUACCUGAAUGUAUUAUGAGAAUAAGGAUCGGCUAACUCCGUGCCAGCCGCGGC
This 517-nucleotide ribosomal RNA is filed under the name uncultured bacterium. RNAcentral describes it as "bacterial SSU rRNA". It matches the Rfam family "Bacterial small subunit ribosomal RNA", at positions 8 to 518 of the family's 1533-position model. The record is from RNAcentral.